GCCUGGCACAGUUGAGGCCUCGUGUGGGCCCAGAAGGAAGGGGGCCCAGGCACAGGUAGAGCCUCGGGGCCCAGGAUGGAGGAGAACCAGGCUCAGUUGGGGCUGUGUUGGGGCCCAGGAUGGAGGAGGACCAGGCACAGUUGGGGCUGCUUUGGGGCCUGAGCUGGAGGGGGACCUGGCACAGUUGGGGCUUCUUUGGGGCCCAGGAUGGAGGACGGCCUGGCACAGCUGAGGCCUCCUCUUGGCCCAGACCAAAGGGAGCCCCGGCCCAGCCCGGGCCUUGGGGCCUAGGAUGGAGGAGGAGCAGACACAGUUGGGGCUGCUUUGGGGCCCAGAAUGGAGGAGGAGCAGACGCAGUUGGGGCUGCUUUGGGGCCCAGGAUGGAGGAGGACCAGGCACAGUUGGGGCUGCUUUGGGGCCUGAGCUGGAGGGGGGCAUGGCACAGUUGGGGCUGCUUUGGGGCCUGGGCUAGAGAAGGAGCAGGCACAGUUGAGGCCUGCUCUUGGCCCAGACCAAAAAGGGCCCAGGCACAGCCAGGGCCUUGGGGCCCAGGAUGAAGCAGGACCAGGAACAGUUGGGGCUGCUUUGGGGCCCAGGAUGGAGAUGGACCAGGAACAGUUGGGGCUGCUUUGGUGCCCAGGAUGGAGAUGGGCCUGGCACAGUUGGGGCUGCUUUGGGGCCUGGACUGGAGGGGUGCCUGGCACAGUUGGGGCCUCCUCUUGGCCCAGACCACAGGGGGCCCCGGCCCAGCCCUAGCCUUGGGGCUUAGGAUAGAGGAGGACCAGCAACAGUUGGGGCUGCUUUGGGGCCCAGGAUGGAGAUGGACCUGGCACAGUUGGGGCUGCUUAGGGGGCUGAGCUGGAAGGGGGCCUGGCACAGUUGGGGCUUCUUUGGGGCCCGGGAUGGAGGACGGCCUGGCACAGUUGAGGCCUCGUCUGGGCCCAGACCAAAGGGGGCUCAAGCCCAGCCAGGGCCUUGGGGCACAGGAUGGAGAAGGACCAGGAACAGUUGAGGCUGCUUUGGGGCCCAGGCCGGUCGACGGCCUGGCACGAUUUGGGCUGCUUUGGGGCCCGGUAUCGAAGAGGACCAGGCUCAGAUGGGGCUGCUUUGGGGCCCAGGCUGGAGGAGGACCUAGCGCAGUUGGGGCCUACUCAGGGCUCAGUCCAAAGGGGGCCCAGGCACAGCCAAGGACUUGGGGCACAGGAUGGAGGAGGACCAGGCACAGCUGGGGCUGCUUUGGGGCCUGGGCUGGUGGGAGGCCCGGCACAGCCAGAGCCUUGUGGCUGCACUCCCUCUGUACACUUCAACCUUGAUCCAUAAUCUGAAAUGGUAACUGGAGUAAAAGGCAGUAGCUGAUCCAGCUGCUUUCCUGUGUUUUAAUUUUUCUAAGUAUGGGGAAGGACUCAAGCUAGUAAAAAAAGACCCCUUUCUGAAGAACAGGACUCAGAAAGUGUUAGCACAGAGCAGAUCUCCCAGUAGAGAUUCUUCCCCUUAGACAGGCAGCCCUUAAACGAGGGUGGGGAGGGCUGGAGCCAGGCUCCACCCGUUUUUUGCCCAGGUGAAAUGCUUGCAGGUGUGCUCCACAGCAGAACGUGUUUUAAUGAAGCCUGUGGAAUCCAAGAAUCCUUUCUUCCUUCUUUCUUGUUUGUGUUUGUUGCCUGCAGUUCCAAGCAGGUGGACUCUCAGUGUCUUGCAAGUGACAGCUAGCAGCAGCAGGUCCAGCCAGGAGGCACAGCACCCUGCAACCUCCAGGUGAGUGACAGCAGGCAGGCAGGCUUUUGGGCUCUGCAGGGUCAUUGUGUGGAGCAUUAUGCACAGGGACAGCUGAGUGUAAAGAUGAUGUCCGAGCUGCAGAGCUAAGCAUAACGGAGAGGCCCAGCGGCUCAGCUCAUUUCCCAGCGUGAGGCAGGAAAUUAAGAGCCACGAGGGAUAUGCAGACGCUUUCUGCUUUUGUCUGUUGCCUCACUCCUUCUGCCCCUGUCAGAGGGGAGGAACGAGCUGCACUUGCACAGAGACAUUGCUCUCACGGCCACUCCCCCCUCAGGUUGGAGCAUUCCUGGCUGCAGGAUGGGCAAACCGAAGUUCUUGCCUGA
Long non-coding RNA from Gallus gallus (chicken), 2093 nucleotides. NCBI's taxonomy places the organism in Eukaryota, Metazoa, Chordata, Aves, Galliformes, Phasianidae. The record is from Ensembl.